ACUUCGGUUAUAAGAUCCCUCAAAGAUGAUGAGGUAAAUAGGUUCGAGGUGGAAGCGUAGCGAUACGUGGAGCUGACGAAUACUAAUCGAUCGAAGACUUAAUCAAAUU
RNAcentral lists this ribosomal RNA (109 nucleotides) under Staphylococcus felis. RNAcentral describes it as "partial 23S ribosomal RNA". It matches the Rfam family "Bacterial large subunit ribosomal RNA", at positions 2818 to 2925 of the family's 2925-position model. The record is from RNAcentral. Lineage: Bacteria; Bacillati; Bacillota; Bacilli; Caryophanales; Staphylococcaceae.